RNAcentral lists this ribosomal RNA (492 nucleotides) under Triticum aestivum (bread wheat). RNAcentral describes it as "partial small subunit ribosomal RNA". Lineage: Eukaryota; Viridiplantae; Streptophyta; Magnoliopsida; Poales; Poaceae. The record is from RNAcentral.
AUGAAGCCCCGGUGGCUCAUUGUUGGUGACUUCAACCUGAUCACCAAAGUGGCUGACAAUAACAACCAAAACAUCAACAACCGCCUCAUUGGAAGUUUCCAUUCCGCGUUAAAUCACCUACAGCUAAAAGAGAUGUGUCUCUCAGGCCAUAAAUUCACAUGGUCCAAUGCUCAACAGAACCCGGUGCUAACAAAGAUAGAUCAUUUAUUCCACUCCGAUGAUUGGGAUGAGCUUUUUCCCAAUGCUCACCUUCAAGCCAUCUCGUCAGCCUACUCGGAUCAUGCCCCGCUGUUCCUCCAAGAGGACACAGAGGUGCGUCGGCGCCCGUCCUUCAAGUUUGAAGAGUUCUGGCUUAGAUUACCUGGUUUCAAGGAAACGGUGGCCACGACCUGGAAUAAACCAGUGCAGUCAACCAAUGUAAUCCGCAAGAUUCACAUCAAAUUGGCAUGGAUUGCAAAGGCUCUCAAGGAAUGUCAAAGAGAUACAGUCUGA